AAAACUAUACAAAAAAAAUGUUGGCUAAGAUGUAAAAAUUAAUAGUAAGAAUAUCUUCAAAUACAUUAAGGGUAAGUAAAAUAUUAGGAUGGGAGUGUAGGGCUUUUGAGGGAUGAUACAGGAAGGCUAAUAUUUGAUGAUUAUAGGAUGACUGAGUUAUUAAAUUCUAGUUUUCUUCAGUUUUUACAGAGGAAGAUUUAAGUAA
Limulus polyphemus (Atlantic horseshoe crab) is the source of this 205-nucleotide long non-coding RNA. RefSeq lists it as uncharacterized. The record is from RefSeq and is a predicted model, not a curated record. The transcript has 3 exons. NCBI's taxonomy places the organism in Eukaryota, Metazoa, Arthropoda, Merostomata, Xiphosura, Limulidae.